GGGGUUGUGGCUCAGAGGUGGAGCUCUCACCUCGUAUGUGUGAGGCACUAAGUUCAAUCCUCAGCACCA
RNAcentral lists this transfer RNA (69 nucleotides) under Ictidomys tridecemlineatus (thirteen-lined ground squirrel). RNAcentral describes it as "Spermophilus tridecemlineatus (thirteen-lined ground squirrel) tRNA". It matches the Rfam family "tRNA". From Rfam's summary of the family: Transfer RNA (tRNA) molecules are approximately 80 nucleotides in length. Their secondary structure includes four short double-helical elements and three loops (D, anti-codon, and T loops). Further hydrogen bonds mediate the characteristic L-shaped molecular structure. tRNAs have two regions of fundamental functional importance: the anti-codon, which is responsible for specific mRNA codon recognition, and the 3' end, to which the tRNAs corresponding amino acid is attached (by aminoacyl-tRNA synthetases). tRNAs cope with the degeneracy of the genetic code in two manners: having more than one tRNA (with a specific anti-codon) for a particular amino acid; and 'wobble' base-pairing, i.e. permitting non-standard base-pairing at the 3rd anti-codon position. Lineage: Eukaryota; Metazoa; Chordata; Mammalia; Rodentia; Sciuridae. The record is from Rfam by way of RNAcentral.